UUUCAAAACCUUUCAAACUCAUUCAAAUAACCAUUUACAAUCCAUUACAUUGUCCAUUCCAUGAGAAAAAAAUACAAAAAAUGAACUUUGACCAAAUGUUGACUUUGGUCAAUAUUUGACUUUUUGCUCAACUUUGACCAAAGUCAACUUAAUCAUUUUACAACCCAAAGUCCUAAAUCCUAUUCAUAACCUCCCAAAUUCCUACUUGAUAUUUUCCAUUUGUUAUGGAUAUUUCAAAUUUCAAACUUGAUGUCUUUCAUCUUUGCCGGCCUUGUACAUAAUUCACCUCAUGUGUGCACGACCAUGUGCUGCCAAACCAUGCCAUAGGUAGAUAAUAAGGGAAGCCCCGCCAGCAUUAAAUUCAAAAUCAGAUCAGAAUCAAAUAUAUGCUACAACAAUGCAUGUGACCUAGCUGCAAUGCAAACCUAAACCAGAAUUGAACUUAUGCAAACCAUGCCAAAAUGCAGAACUUAGCAAAACAAGGCAAGGCAUGAAAUGCAAUCACAAUGCAUGUGACCUAGCUGCAAUGCAAACCUAAACCAGAAUUGAACUUAUGCAAACCAUGCCAAAAUGCAGAACUUAGCAAAACAAGGCAAGGCAUGAGAUGCAAUCACAAGUCAUGAC
Molecule: long non-coding RNA, 624 nt
Filed under: Lathyrus oleraceus (garden pea)
Lineage: Eukaryota; Viridiplantae; Streptophyta; Magnoliopsida; Fabales; Fabaceae
Description: Pisum sativum (pea) long non-coding RNA (PSAT_LNC032087)
Source: RNAcentral